AUUGAACGCUGGCGGCAUGCUUUACACAUGCAAGUCGAACGGUAACAGGCCCUUCGGGGUGCUGACGAGUGGCGGACGGGUGAGUAAUGCUUAGGAUCUGCCUAGUAGUGGGGGAUAACCCGGGAAACUCGGGCUAAUACCGCAUACGCCCUACGGGGAAAGCGGGGACUUUCGGCCUCGCGCUAUUAGAUGAGCCUAAGUCCGAUUAGCUA
Molecule: ribosomal RNA, 212 nt
Filed under: uncultured bacterium
Lineage: Bacteria
Description: partial 16S ribosomal RNA
Rfam family: Bacterial small subunit ribosomal RNA
Source: RNAcentral